UGCAGUCGAGCGAAGAGAUGGGAGCUUGCUCCCUGAUCUUAGCGGCGGACGGGUGAGUAACACGUGGGCAACCUGCCCUGCAGACUGGGAUAACUCCGGGAAACCGGAGCUAAUACCGGGUAAUACAUCGCACCGCAUGGUGCAAUGUUGAAAGUUGGCUUUCUGAGCUAACACUGCAGGAUGGGCCCGCGGCGCAUUAGCUAGUUGGUAAGGUAAUGGCUUACCAAGGCGACGAUGCGUAGCCGACCUGAGAGGGUGAUCGGCCACACUGGGACUGAGACACGGCCCAGACUCCUACGGGAGGCAGCAGUAGGGAAUCUUCCGCAAUGGACGAAAGUCUGACGGAGCAACGCCGCGUGAGUGACGAAGGCCUUCGGGUCGUAAAGCUCUGUUGUUAGGGAAGAACAAGUACCGUUCGAAUAGGGCGGUACCUUGACGGUACCUAACCAGAAAGCCACGGCUAACUACGUGCCAGCAGCCGCGGUAAUACGUAGGUGGCAAGCGUUGUCCGGAAUUAUUGGGCGUAAAGCGCGCGCAGGCGGUCUUUUAAGUCUGAUGUGAAAGCCCACGGCUCAACCGUGGAGGGUCAUUGGAAACUGGAGGACUUGAGUGCAGAAGAGGAGAGUGGAAUUCCACGUGUAGCGGUGAAAUGCGUAGAUAUGUGGAGGAACACCAGUGGCGAAGGCGGCUCUCUGGUCUGUAACUGACGCUGAGGCGCG
RNAcentral lists this ribosomal RNA (719 nucleotides) under Guptibacillus hwajinpoensis. Its description in RNAcentral is "bacterial SSU rRNA". It matches the Rfam family "Bacterial small subunit ribosomal RNA", at positions 56 to 755 of the family's 1533-position model. The record is from RNAcentral. Lineage: Bacteria; Bacillati; Bacillota; Bacilli; Caryophanales; Guptibacillaceae.